CUAGCCCAAAGCUGUCGCCAUGGCAACUGACUGAGACGGUUUCUGUUUCGGCAACGCGCGCGCGCGCGUUGUUGCCGCCGCUGCUUGACGAUUUUGUUGUACCACAGGCAAAACAGGUUAAGUGCAACGAACAUCACUCGUGCGUAGUUUGAUGAGCCUGCGUGGCUUCAUCGAUUGAGCCCUGAUGUAUGAAAUGCUAUCCGGUUCCAAGGACGAAUUGUCGGUUCGAUUGCGAAAACCCAGAGGUCGUGACCGACCUCUCCGGCGCACGAACUCGUUCGAAAGCGGCGUCACAAGGUGUGCUACCCAAAUACGAGCCUGAAACAACCAUGCAGAUUCACAUCAUCUGCCUGCCUUGGGAUCCUGGAAUUUGACUGGUCGGGUUUGACUAAGAAAAAGCAGCCUGCUACGCUACCACUAGAGCCACAGCGUACUGUUCAGGCUUGUCGACACACGGAGGCCGUCCACCACACAGUCUGUCCUCCCGCCGCUUGACCACCUUCAUGCUCAUGCAACCGCACCACACCCCCGGCCCUAGCGGGUCCCUAAUGUCCUGCGACGUCCACUGCCCAUGACGGACGUGUCUCGGGGAACCCGUCGCCGAUUCCCCACGUUCAACCGCGGAGCUACAGCCGUGCAGUGACGGCAGCAUCUGUCCAAUCGUUUAUAGGGUUUUCUUCAAAAAUUAUUAUAAGAAACUCUGGCACUAGGGUCUACGGGGGCUGUAAGUACGGCGAUUCAGCCAGCGUGGGAGUUACGAGUAUAGUACACGAAUUUGUCUAAAAAUUUGUCCUUCUGGCUUCAAACAGCUCGGAUAACAUUUUUUUUUUUUUUUUUUGCGUCAGCAGACGAGUACAGAUGGAAGACGUUGACAAACUGAAGACGUUGUCCUCGUCCGCUGGUGCUAAAAAUGUUAUCCAAGUUAGAGGUGCCAACAUGCAUCAACAUAUAGAGUAGUCAAACGGCUUUGCGACUUCGAAAAUUGGUCAUUUCCGCCGAAAUAAAGCGUUACAAAUGCAACAAUUCGCAGCGUUUAUGCAUAUGCGCAGACGCUUGUUGGUUCGCUGUGCUUAGAGAACUCUGGAAAUUUAGGAGGAUAAGGAGUGAUAAGUAAGCCACAAGAGCGUAUCAAGUCACAAGCACGAAUAUUAGACAAAUCCAUAUGUAAUAGCCAUCAUCCCCUGGUUACAGUACACUGGUAACUGAAGGAUAUAUCAAUGCACGAGUUCUCUGUUGUGAUUAUUGUAGUAAAUUUUACGCAAGCAUUGAUUCGCUUGCUCAUUGCCUACACACCAGGCACGCUAUCAGUGCACAUAUGACGGAAGAGCUUGCCUUUUAAUCGAGCCUCUUUUAGUCAGGUUGCAUUGUACUCAGUUCUCACUACAUUUGAAGGGGUGCGUUACAUUUUCGAAUCUCCUUGUAAUAAGCUGUGUCGUACUUUAACUUUACGAGUUGUCUAUACGCCACAAUUACCACAACUCAGUGCGUGGGCUUAGAGAAAACGACAGAUUCGUGAAAAAAAGAUAGAGAGAGAGAAAAGGUCGCUGCGUCUCAUAGUAAUAUACGUGUAUACAUCUGUUCGACUCAAUGUAUCCCUCCUUGCAGAAGCCGUAAAACCCACAAUUCUUCCCACACCUCUGUCCUUCCGUCAAUACUGAAAACAAGCGCUAAGCAUUCGCUGCUACAGACAUUAUUUCGUCUUGACGCAGGGCACUGUCGUCUACAAUUGUCGCGAGCUAUGUAACUGUGUUUCCACUUACAGGGAAAGGAAAAAAUAAUAAUGAAGCGCAUCAUCUAUGUCUAUGCUUGUAUGUCUGGGUUGUAUAUUCACACUCGAGAAUGCUUUUGCUCUCAUAUUCAAGAAUUUUUACGCCCCCGAAUUUAUUGAGUUCUUCACUAUAUGCUAUCGAGGAAAAGCCGGUGGAGUCGAAAGUCGUGUAGAUCGCCGGCGGAGCGAUCCAUGGCACACCACCUCCUCAGCCCCGGCUAGCUACCUUGCCUCUUUCCGCUAGUUCAAAAUUCUGCGAUGUCAUUGUCCUUGCAUACAUUUUGGCUUGAAGUGCGGCGAAGCAUAUUUAACCGUUACCGUGCGCUUUCCCUCCACCCCCUAGUUUUGUUUUAUUUUCUCAAGCACUUCCGGGGUUCUUUAUUAAAGGCAAUCACCCCAAGCAACACUGUCGUGUUCGCUUAUGCGCAUGUAUCACCGCUUCGACUAUAUAUCCCAGGUGCUAUCCUCUCGAGGCACUUCGCUUCGCUUCGUCUCGUCCCUCGCGCGACGUUCACGUGCACACAACUCCGAGAGAGACGUGAAUUCUCAGGAAUCUGCCAUAUCCAAGGGUGCGUGUCUCCGCUGCUCCGGCAAUCACGGAAAGCAGCGGUCGACCACCCCGACCUGUAGCGUUGAGCCGAUAGAAACAAACAGUUAGAGUGCGGCUUUCUGUGGCUUGUGUAUAACUGUGAGGCUUUCGUCUGCGUUUUUUCUUUCUUUUUUUUCGCAUUUCGUAUACAUUCGUGAGCGUGUGUGCGGUGUGAGUGAGCGAGUAGGUGAACCAGUGCAAAACUUCGGGAACACCCCGGCAGCUAAGUUGAAAAUCCCGCGCUUUCCUUACCGCAUUGCCACGUGCCAGCACCUUUGACUGCAACUAGACAAGAUAGUUUGCACCUACUUCAUCGCGGACGCCAUCUUUGGGUACUAGCAGAUACCCGCCCGGCGCAAGCAAGAAACCUGACAGCAUGACAGGGGCGUCUUUCGUCGAACGUCAAAGCGAUAACAGUGAUAAACCGGUGAAAAACAGUCGCCGUCAAAAAAAAAAAAAAAAAAAAAAAGAAUCUGUCGCCGUCAAAAAAAAAAGAAAAAAAAAAGAAGAAAAGAAACAGUGUGCGCGUGAUAAUACGGUGCACUGAUGUCAUCGUAGCCGCCAUGUUUAGGUACUAGAGCGUUGAGAACUGCUUCCGUGACGUCACAUGAAAACUAUUCAUGGACGUAGAGCUGUAACCUUGGCCCCCCGCUGACGUCAAAGGGCCUAGACAUAUGCCGUGGAAGCGCGCUAAAAUUGACCGAAGUGUGGAAAGUAGCCAGCUGGCGCGCGGUUACGUUCCGCUAGAGUUGCUGUAUGUGCUCCUCUAUACAGGAGUUCUACGUUCCGCCAUCCGUUCCGCUGCGUUACGCUUUCAGUAGUGACAGGCUAUCGUGUGACGCUUUGCGUUUCGCAUUGUGCAGUGGCGCGCCCUUGCGUAACGCUUUGCGACGGAGUGUGACAUGCAUGCUCUCGCAUCUCCUCGACGAAGCCAUAGGAUGCCCACACGGCUGAGGGAGAGAUAGAGUUAUAGGAACAAAAGAAAAUGCGCUUUUGUUAUCGUGAAGGUAGUAUGCCUUGUUUGCUGUUCUGCACAAGGGGAAGAGAAAAAAGCCCUGAUUGUAAGAAGAGUAGGGAGAGAAGAGCACGCGGAAUAGCGCAGGUGGAUAUGUGAAUGCUUCAAAGGCUGGUGUCGCUCGUCUGCUGCUCCGUAUUUUCGAAAAUUCUUGCCAGACAGUAUCCAGGGUAGUGCUCCGUGGUUACUACUCGAAAGCAAGAGCUUACGACCGGGUUGAAGAGAUUUAAACCAGUGGACGUGGUUCAGGCCCUUAUCACAAUGCAACAUACGUCAAGCUUUUGAAUUUAGUCGACGUUUUCCCAAGCACCAAGAAUCACCGAGCUGAGGCACCUCAUUGAGUGUGCUUGCUCGCUUCAGGUCUUCAGUACAGGAACAUUAGUGUUUGUGUUGUACGGCUUACAUAUCGCGUACGAAGGUCCGUGGACCCUGUACUGCAUGGUCGAGUCGCUUGUGAUGGGUGCACUGUACAUUUCCCAAUCGCACCCGCAACUCUAGCGUCGCAGGAUUCGACGUGUCGUUUAUGUAACCGGAACGUUGACCUCUUUGUUCGUGGGCAUCUUAUCGCGUGCCGUAUUGCGCGGCUAUAAACAUAUCUGUCUGUAUCCCUGCCCUUUGGAUAAUUGCUGCCCUGUGCGAACGUGUAGGCGGUGGCGAUGAGUCGCUUCAUUUCACAUGUCUAUCGCAAGCAUGCACCCUGCUUUCGAACGAUACACAUGUCACGUAUUCACCUUGAGCGCCUUUGUAUACAAUCACAGCGAUUGUCACGGGCUCUAUAUAUCAAGCCUCUACACAGCUGCCGUGCCUAGUCAAAGUUUUACGAGCUAGCGAGAAUCACGCAAAGCCUACAAUCGUCAUGCCGUGGUUGUGCCGCGAGUCUUUGCUAUAUAGCCUCUUCUCCACAAUAAAUGUUUUUGCAACAUUCGACGCUGUAUACACCACUGCAUCCUUCAACCAAGUACCAUCGUUUCCUAAACAUUUUAUCGCAGCUCGGGCUCCUGAAGGGACAUCAUGUGUGCAGGGUGUCACGAACAAAGGUCAGAGCGUAUAACGAAGAGAAAUUACACAAGAUCUCAAUAAGAGAGCUCUGGCGCUUGUUCUAGAGUUUCUUGGGAACUGUCUCAAGUAGCUUUCUCAUGGCAUAUAUCUAUCACAAGGAACUUGGAAACAUAAUAAGGUCCUUAUUGAAUUCUUCCGUGCAUGCAGUUUCUGCCCACUUAUUUGGUUGAUAUAGAUGAUGCACGUGAUGUUCCCCUCACAUGAACGAACUAGGACCUUCAACGCUAGCAUUAGUUUUAUUCACACAACUCAUUUUGUGACGUGAUAGAUGUGACCCGUUUUGUUUAGAGCGGAAAUUUUCCAGGUAGAAAAAAAGUGUAAGAGUCUUGCAUCAUGGUCCUAGGAAACAAUAGCUGAUAUGUCUAUCUCUUUACGCAAGAUGCAAAUGAUUUUACAGCGUCUAUAACUGUAGUACUUUUCUUAGCUCUUUCCAGCGAAGCGCACACAAUCGGCGAGCCCAAGCUGCAAUGAGAGGCGUGGUCUUCGUCACUGAAGAAAGAAUGAAACAGAGCUAUCGGAUCAGUUCACCUUUUUUCCCCACUAAUUUUACAAAGCCUCCAGCCCUGUAAACGAGCAAAGUGUGUGAUUCAAAAUCCUUCACCCGUAUCUUCGUCACUUUUCCAUACACGUACAUUCAAGACGUUGCCGAUGAUAACGCUGCUAAAUAAGGCCCCUCGCACUUGACGUGUACUCUGUCACGCAUCAGCCUCAACUUCCACAUCUUUCAACUACUUUGUCAGUCCUCUUACAACGCGAGAUAAAGGCAUAGGCUGUGCGGGCCAUCUGUGAUAACGCACCUUCAAUGCCUGAAAUGCUUCAGUAAUUGUGCGAGCUGCUGCAACCGAACGCUUUUGUUUAGCAACUGUUCGGCGUACACGUGACUUCUAUGGAAAAGUCUAGUGGCAGCCCUUGUCAGGUAAACAGGCCAUCCGUCCACAAACAGAAGAUUCGAUCAGUGCGGUGCGCCAGCCGCCACCCACUUCGAGUCGAUAUAACCUAUAUAACUCCACGUGUGUUCACCGAAUGACGAGAAAGUGCAGUGAUAGCUAGACCAUCGUCGGUUUGCUGUUUGUUCCUUUAUAUCUAACAUUUGCACAACGCCUUCUCGAGCGAUAAGACGUAUGUAUACACUCUCCACCAAUAUGAAAGGGAACACUUCAUCUGUGUUCAAAGAGCGAUCCUUGUAAACAUAAAACAAAGCGUGUGCCGGUCAGAAUCUCACUGAUAUUUGUUAUGUUGAUCACCUGCUGAAGAUUACGAAAUGUUUCCUCAUCACAAGCACACACAAGGAAAAUUAAAGUCUGUGAACACAAAUCCUAAUAAUUUUCAAAUUGGCGCAGUGCUUCGGCUCUCAGCUAUAUACGCUGCUUUCAACUCUGUCCCACAGAAUACUCUUACGAUGACAUAUUAAGACAAUGUAGAAAUAAACAAACAAGAAAGACAAUAAAAUAAACGGAAUUGUUUCGGUUUGACUUGCCUAAUAACAAGCAAUGAAGUGGACAAAAGGGGCAAGGGAGAAUUGGGCUUCGUUCUUUCCUUGCCUUGUCAUCUGUUUAUUUCUUCCUGUGCCGCCCUCUUUUCUUUACUGCGUGAUUCUGAAUAGCAGUUGGAUCCCGUGGUCGGGAUGUUCACUUAACAUAGAUCGGAAUAAACUUUGUGCUGGCUAAGGGUCUUGAUGUAAGCGGUAUUUCGAUAUAAAAGUGGUUGUGUGAGGAUUUAUGUUUUCGUUUCGCCGUCCGUGUGAAACGUUUGAAAGAGGAAAAGAAAAUGCUCAGUUAAAAAAAAAAAAGAAAUAUUUAAACAAACUUGAAGCAAAGGAAAAAAAAAAAAAAACUCGAUGGGUCGGAUUCGUUUGCGCUGAAAGCCAGAUUUGAACCGCUUCUACUAACGAACGUCCAUUUGCGAUUUAGGACACAACAUUAUGAGUGACUUCGCGAUACGAUGUGUUUCUUGAAAAUCUGAGGACACGGCAGAAAUACUGUUCGGCGUUCUUACUACGUUGUUGCAAUUCGAUGAAUUAAUUGUUGCAGUACUUACAUAUGUGUCACGUGUGUUCAAUUGCGGUGGUGAAUGUGCUAUCAACUUAACGGAAAUAAAACGGCGUGAAUAAGAAUGUGAAGUAUUUUGUGUGUCUCGACCUACAUUAUUACCGGUGCUAUGAUACCUGACGGACGAAUUGCAAAAUUGUUUUUC
Molecule: long non-coding RNA, 6624 nt
Organism: Dermacentor silvarum
Lineage: Eukaryota; Metazoa; Arthropoda; Arachnida; Ixodida; Ixodidae
Exons: 4
Source: RefSeq, a predicted model, not a curated record